CAUCCUUUGCUGCUAAUUUGAACUGGGAGUCACAGUUGCAAGUCACACUCAUCUCCAGCUCUGUAGUUUUCUGUCUCAGAUGUCCAUUAGUUCUUAUAUUAACAGGGAACGAAUAGGAUGUGUUUCGUAAUGACGAUUUUCUGCACCAUGUGGGACCUUGUUUACAACGUGGCUAGCUUUUUUAGAGUUCCAAAAUGCUACCGAAGCCAAGGCCAAGCCGGAUGCCCCCCUCCCCCAUGCAGGCUCAGUAACCUGCUGGUAUACAAGGAGGAUGUUCCCAUCUCAACUUUGGAGAGGCCUUUAACAAGUCGAAGUCUUCAUUAUACUUACAACAACAGCAACAUUGUAGCUCUAAUGGUUUUAUAUGGACAAUUAGUUAUAGUUGCAUGGCUGCAGUACAGUACUGUAUCAGGAAAAAUUUCAAUAUUAAAGAAAGCGUAGAUACAAAAUGGUUGAUUUUUGCAUUCUUUGUUGGUAAGGAAUGAGUAAUAGAGGAAAACACCACAAAACUUGUAUGAACCAUAUUGAUGAUAAUAAAUAUGAUUGGCAUGUAUUGACAUAACUGUCAAAGUGUCAACAUUGAGUUGUUUGUACACUUUAUAUAAGAAUGUUAAUCUUAAUAUAAGAAACUGAUUCUAGGUUUGUAGUUGCAAGAAAUUUAGUCUUGAAGACAGAAUGGUAUUGCAGGCACAAGAAAUCUCAAUCUCCAUGCAAGAAAGUGAUUCUUGAUGUACUAGAUAUAAGAAAAUCACUCUUGGAGACAGAAAGUAAAUCCUCAUACAAGAACCUCAAUCUUCAUGCAAGAAAGUCGUUUCUGGUGUAAGAAAUUCAGCCUUAGAGACAGAAAGGUAUUCCUGGAACAAGAACCUCAUUCUUGAUAUAAGAAAUUCAUUCUUCAGCAUGCAUGUAUUAGAAAUAGAUUCUGACCACAAGAAAACUAUUCUAGAAGUUCUGGUCCAUUAGUGAUAAGAAAAAAAUUCUUAGCACAAGAAAAAUAUGGGUUUCUUGAAUUUUCUCAAAACAGGGAUUCUUGUAUACAGAAUAAUAUUCUUGCUGCAAGGUCAGUUUUCUUUGUUCAAGAAAAAACAAGAAAGAUAAGAAAAUUCAUUUUUUGUAGUGUAGGG
Long non-coding RNA from Branchiostoma floridae (Florida lancelet), 1124 nucleotides. RefSeq lists it as uncharacterized. The transcript is spliced from 2 exons. The record is from RefSeq and is a predicted model, not a curated record. Lineage: Eukaryota; Metazoa; Chordata; Leptocardii; Amphioxiformes; Branchiostomatidae.